GUUCCGCCGCCUCCAUCGCCGGUUGUGUUCGCGAGAGGCGAACUCAGUUUCCCAGGUGGCGCAGCGGCAGCCAGUCCAAAGUCGGACUUUCAAAACCAACCCGAAGUUUUGAACCCGGCGGCGGCAGUUGUCACUGGCACAGGUUUGGCGUGGUGGCGCCAGUGUACUGCUUCUGGGGAGGUCUCGACCAGGUUCUGGCACCUUCAACCCCCACCUGAUAUCUGCGUAUCAUCAGGGUAUCCCGCUUUCCCCCCAGUUCCCCAAGAGCGUCCUUCCUUUCCCUAGUCCCACGAUCGCAGUUUUGGUCUGAUAGUGCAUCCCCCUACUCCAAGUUGCAUCCCCACUACCCUCUUUCCAUCUAACGUGGUGGCCUUUCCUGGGCUGUACCUUGGGUAUCCCCCGCUGAGAGAGUAAGCACAAGACACCAGGGAGCCAGACCCCUGCCGCUCCCCUGCCACAGGAUAUGAGUAGGAGCCUCAGCUGGUUUGAGCAGCUGGAUGUGCUUCUCAACACUAGUGAUGGAAAUGUGGCCCGGAUUAAGCAGUGGCUGUAUCCUCUUGGGGUCUCCAACUCAGCUUUGAAUUCAGUCUUCUGGACAGUAACAGUAGCUGGGAACUUUUAUGGAAGCCAGAUCCCCAGAGGAGCACCCUUUCUAUACUGGAGCCCAGAAGCUUUCAGCUCCAUGCCCAGAGUCUUAAGCAAGAGGGCCUGUUCCUUUGGGGCCCCAACAUGCUCCUGA
Long non-coding RNA from Cercocebus atys (sooty mangabey), 739 nucleotides. RefSeq lists it as uncharacterized. The record is from RefSeq and is a predicted model, not a curated record. The transcript is spliced from 4 exons. NCBI's taxonomy places the organism in Eukaryota, Metazoa, Chordata, Mammalia, Primates, Cercopithecidae.